This is an RNA transcript of Oncorhynchus nerka (sockeye salmon), 1630 nucleotides long. It is a transcript of the gene named cysteine-rich with EGF-like domain protein 2, with no coding region annotated. The transcript is spliced from 11 exons. NCBI's taxonomy places the organism in Eukaryota, Metazoa, Chordata, Actinopteri, Salmoniformes, Salmonidae. The record is from RefSeq and is a predicted model, not a curated record.
AUUACUUUCGUACGCUUUGGGUAGCUAAUUUCCAAUACAUUGUUGUAUAUGUGUAUAGACUCUGUGCUACACGUUUUAGGGAUAGGAAGCUUGCUGGCAAGAGUCUAGUGUGUAACAUUAACUAUGAUAUGAAACUUCGAGUCAUUCAACUGCUUUCCAGUUACUGUAGUUACCCAGAAUGCUAUCGUUCAAUCAAUUAUUGUGGCUAUUUUGUAGCCUAGCUUUUAUUUUACUAUCACAAUGCACCUAUGCAAAAUACUUAAAAAGCUCAUGUAAUACCUGCAAACAGAUAGCUGAUAACUUCAGUAAGGGAUUGGACCGUACGAAAAAGCAGAACUUUGGUGGAGGAAACACCGCUUGGGAGGAGAGGGCACUUUCCAAAUAUGAGACGAGUGAGAUCCGCCUAGUUGAGAUUCUGGAGAAUCUGUGUGACAGCAGCAGCUUUGACUGUAACCACAUGGUAGAGGAGCACGAGGACCACUUUGAGACCUGGUGGUUCAAGAGGCAAAAUAAGCAUCCUGAUCUGUAUAAGUGGUUUUGCGUUGAUACCAUCAAGGUGUGCUGUUCGACGGGAACGUUUGGCCCUGAUUGUAAUGCCUGUGUGGCGGGUUCUGAGAGGCCUUGCCAUGGCAACGGCGUUUGUGACGGUGAUGGAACACGAGGGGGUAACGGCAGGUGCAACUGUGACCAUGGUUACAAGGGGGAGUUCUGUCUGGACUGCAUGGACGGAUACUUCAAUGAAAUUAGGAACGACACGUUUUCACUAUGCACAGAGUGCCACACCUCCUGCAAGACCUGCACUGGUCUAACCAAUGAGGACUGUGAGAAGUGCAAGACUGGCUGGGGGGAGGAUGAUGAGGGGACCUGUCUUGAUGUGAACGAGUGCUUGAACGACCCUCCUCUCUGCAAAGAGGAUCAGUACUGUCUGAACACGGAUGGCUCGUUCUCCUGUAAAGGCUGUGACGAGGUGUGUUCAGGCUGUACUGGGGCAGGGCCUGAUAAGUGCCAGAGCUGUGCUCCUGGGUACCAGGGCACAGAGGGCACCUGCACAGGUACGAGGAACAGGAGGGAGUCUGUGUCAAAAUACCAGAGCCAGGUUAAGUACACUGUAGUUACUACUACAGUAACCGUAUACGCUCUAUGAAAUACUGCAGACGCAGUUGUAUCAGAUGACUCUUGGUUGACACUGCAUUUGACAGCAGUGCGUGAUCAAGCAAAGGAGAAUGAGGCAGAAAUAGUGAAACGUCCAGAAGAGCACGAAGACCUUUGACCUCAGGAAAUGAACUAAUAGGAACAAACCAGGAAGAGCAUUUGGCGUAAAUUAUGAGGUGGGUGUCACCCGUGAGACUACACCCCUAUAGCUCACAGCAUCAGAAUAUAUUAAGACUACUCCCUUUAAAGCAUUGCGACUACAUGGCAGUUGAUCACUCGACAUGCAUACUGCACUCUUUACAGAUUUAUACCCGUCGAUCAUGGAUGGACAGCCAACAGAAUGGCUGAUAAAAUUAAAGAUUCAAUCCCCAAAUACUCUGGUUCUUGUUUUUGCUGUGGUUAACCCAAGUGUUGUCUGUUUUUUAAAUUUAUGCAGGAUUUUGAACGUUAUUCAAAUAAAGUUUGAGAACAGAAAUUA